GGCUCAGGACGAACGCUGGCGGCGUGCUUAACACAUGCAAGUCGAACGGUGAUGUCAGAGCUUGCUCUGGCGGAUCAGUGGCGAACGGGUGAGUAACACGUGAGUAACCUGCCCCCGACUCUGGGAUAACUGCUAGAAAUGGUAGCUAAUACCGGAUAUGACGAUUGGCCGCAUGGUCUGGUCGUGGAAAGAAUUUCGGUUGGGGAUGGACUCGCGGCCUAUCAGGUUGUUGGUGAGGUAAUGGCUCACCAAGCCUACGACGGGUAGCCGGCCUGAGAGGGUGACCGGCCACACUGGGACUGAGACACGGCCCAGACUCCUACGGGAGGCAGCAGUGGGGAAUAUUGCACAAUGGGCGAAAGCCUGAUGCAGCAACGCCGCGUGAGGGAUGGCGGCCUUCGGGUUGUAAACCUCUUUUAGUAGGGAAGAAGCGAAAGU
Molecule: ribosomal RNA, 438 nt
Filed under: Clavibacter michiganensis subsp. michiganensis
Lineage: Bacteria; Bacillati; Actinomycetota; Actinomycetes; Micrococcales; Microbacteriaceae
Description: bacterial SSU rRNA
Rfam family: Bacterial small subunit ribosomal RNA
Source: RNAcentral